This 78-nucleotide transfer RNA is filed under the name Escherichia coli. RNAcentral describes it as "tRNA-Ile". Lineage: Bacteria; Pseudomonadati; Pseudomonadota; Gammaproteobacteria; Enterobacterales; Enterobacteriaceae. The record is from RNAcentral.
AGGCUUGUAGCUCAGGUGGUUAGAGCGCACCCCUGAUAAGGGUGAGGUCGGUGGUUCAAUGAUGCUCACACAGAUUGU